CAUCUUUAAGGUUUAAAGGGUACCUAGACGGAAAAUCAAGCCAUAAUAGGGACUAAUUUUCUAGAGUUUUAUGAGAGAAGAUAGAAUUUUCGGAGGAGAGAUAAAAUUCGUUGAUACUGGAGAGACUGGCAACGGCGAAGGCGACCUUCUAUGUAAAAACUGACGUUGAGGGACGAAGCCAAGGGUAACGAGAAGGAUUCGACACCCUAGUAGUCCUUGGAGACAAUUAUGAAUGUCAUAGGCUAGAUAAAUUUAGUCUAUAAAUGAAAGUGUAAGCAUUCCACCUCAUGAGUAAAGCGGCAACGCCCAAAUUGAAAUCAUUAGACCGUAUCUGAGAUCAGUAGUGAAGUAUGUUAUUUAAUUCGAUGAUCCGCGAAUAACCUUACCACGCAUUGAAUAUUAUUUAAUUAUUACAAGUGUUGCACGGCUGUUUUUAGUUAAUGUCGUGAGAUUAUGGUUAACACCUAUAAUUAACGCAAACCCUUGCUUUAUUUAUUUUUAUAAAGUAGUUCUCCAUUUAUAUUGGAUAGAUAAAAGGGACUAAGACAAGUCAUCAUGGCCUUAAUA
RNAcentral lists this ribosomal RNA (567 nucleotides) under Muellerella ventosicola. Its description in RNAcentral is "SSU rRNA". It matches the Rfam family "Bacterial small subunit ribosomal RNA", at positions 547 to 1206 of the family's 1533-position model. The record is from RNAcentral. Lineage: Eukaryota; Fungi; Ascomycota; Eurotiomycetes; Verrucariales; Verrucariaceae.